RNAcentral lists this ribosomal RNA (508 nucleotides) under uncultured bacterium. RNAcentral's name for it is "partial 16S ribosomal RNA". It matches the Rfam family "Bacterial small subunit ribosomal RNA", at positions 28 to 523 of the family's 1533-position model. The record is from RNAcentral.
GAUGAACGCUAGCUACAGGCUUAACACAUGCAAGUCGAGGGGAAACGAUAGAGAAAGCUUGCUUUUUCUAGGCGUCGACCGGCGCACGGGUGAGUAACGCGUAUCCAACCUGCCCACCACUUGGGGAUAACCUUGCGAAAGUAAGACUAAUACCCAAUGAUAUCUCAAGAAGACAUCUGAAUGAGAUUAAAGCUUUAUCGGUGAUGGAUGGGGAUGCGUCUGAUUAGCUUGUUGGCGGGGUAACGGCCCACCAAGGCGACGAUCAGUAGGGGUUCUGAGAGGAAGGUCCCCCACAUUGGAACUGAGACACGGUCCAAACUCCUACGGGAGGCAGCAGUGAGGAAUAUUGGUCAAUGGGCGAGAGCCUGAACCAGCCAAGUAGCGUGCAGGAUGACGGCCCUAUGGGUUGUAAACUGCUUUUAUAAGGGAAUAAAGUGAGUCUCGUGAGGCUUUUUGCAUGUACCUUAUGAAUAAGGACCGGCUAAUUCCGUGCCAGCAGCCGCAGUAA